Molecule: long non-coding RNA, 156 nt
Organism: Thalassophryne amazonica
Lineage: Eukaryota; Metazoa; Chordata; Actinopteri; Batrachoidiformes; Batrachoididae
Exons: 2
Source: RefSeq, a predicted model, not a curated record
ACAGACAAAUGCUUUUUGUCCUGUAUGAAUUAUCAUGUUGCCCUUCUGUUUCUGUCUUUUACUCUGAUCAGAACAGCUAAAUUGUUUUCUUUUUGCUUGACUCUCCUUUUCUUGCUCUGAAUUGUUAACAUGACCAGAUGCUUUUACAUAUUGAGA